Molecule: ribosomal RNA, 496 nt
Filed under: uncultured bacterium
Lineage: Bacteria
Description: partial 16S ribosomal RNA
Rfam family: Bacterial small subunit ribosomal RNA
Source: RNAcentral
GAUGAACGCUGGCGGCGUGCCUAAUACAUGCAAGUCGAGCGAACAGACGAGGAGCUUGCUCCUCUGACGUUAGCGGCGGACGGGUGAGUAACACGUGGAUAACCUACCUAUAAGACUGGGAUAACUUCGGGAAACCGGAGCUAAUACCGGAUAAUAUAUUGAACCGCAUGGUUCAAUAGUGAAAGACGGUUUUGCUGUCACUUAUAGAUGGAUCCGCGCCGCAUUAGCUAGUUGGUAAGGUAACGGCUUACCAAGGCAACGAUGCGUAGCCGACCUGAGAGGGUGAUCGGCCACACUGGAACGGAGACACGGUCCAGACUCCUACGGGAGGCAGCAGUAGGGAAUCUUCCGCAAGGGGCGAAAGCCUGACGGAGCAACGCCGCGUGAGUGAUGAAGGUCUUCGGAUCGUAAAACUCUGUUAUUAGGGAAGAACAAAUGUGUAAGUAACUAUGCACGUCUUGACGGUACCUAAGCAGAAAGCCACGGCUAACUACGU